Molecule: long non-coding RNA, 4516 nt
Organism: Gasterosteus aculeatus aculeatus (three-spined stickleback)
Lineage: Eukaryota; Metazoa; Chordata; Actinopteri; Perciformes; Gasterosteidae
Source: Ensembl
GAAGAAACUGCUGAAUGCUCUCAGUGGAUUGUCUCGCCAACUCCAACAACAAACUGCCGAUAUCAAUGAGCGUUCGGGACUCUCCAGGUUGCUGUCCAUAGAGGAGAGGUUUGCGGCGCGGGAGGAACUGACUCAAAGAAGAGGAGACUGGCGCUAGCGGAAGCGGUGCGCCGUCUUCACAACUCCGAGACGAAUUACAGGCGCUACGAACCGGAGCAAGGCCGCCUGUAAGACGUAUUUUGAGACGGUACGCAGGAGCUUCAGGUUCUCCCAGCCGGAACACUCAUUGCGGGCGGAAGCUGCGAAGAAUUCAGCGCGGAGUCGAGCGAGAAGAAAGAGGCUGCUGGAAUCGAGACAAAGUGUGCUGGCUGAUGACGAGGUGGAACUCUGGAAAUCCGCCACCGUAGAGCUCAUGUCGGACGGAGAGGAUGGCGUUGUUUGCGGGGUCUCGGGGUGGAUUGUACGGUCGCCGCCAAAAUACAGAGCCACGCACACUAGGCGCCUGCACAACAGACCUGCCUCGGAAAACAUGCCGCCAGUGACAGUCUACAACCCCGAGGAGGCAAACGGACAGUUUACUGAGCUGUAGUUUUUUAAACCGCCUUUACCCAAGUGUGGGCAGAUCCUCACUUUGUAUAUAGUUGUUGUUUGUAUGUUGUUAAUAAAGCUCUUUCUUUGCAUAAACAUGUUCCUGGCAAAUGUUCAUUUUCUCUAUAAAUUCAUUGAUGUCCUGGAUGGUAUCCUAAUAAUAGUGUAGUAGCCUACAUAGGAUAACAAUGAAAUGAAUGUCCAGCAUAAUAUGAAUAUAUAAAUAUAUAUAAAUAAAAUGAGGCGGGUGACCAAUAGCGACAGAUCUGCCAACCAAUCACGAGUGAUUUGAAAGUUGUGGUUUCAUCACAAUCAUGAGCAAGGAAAACUCAAGCCUUGGUCUGCCCAGGUGUGGUUUUGCUGCCAAUCACGAGUGAUUUUACUUGUUUGAAAGAUGUGGUUUCAUCCAAUACGGAGUAGGGAUAUUUAAGCCCGCUCAGGCACCCGCGGUUUCGCUGUAUUCAUAUGCUAAUUUGGGCCAUUCGCACCUCCACCAGCUCUCCACAUACGCCUUGGAUUGUUUCCGACAAACACGACGUGCGCGGGUUGCAAAUUGUCGGAAAUGGUCGGAAAUUAGGGAGAUUUCCGGGCGUUUCCGGGGACGAAAAUCUCACUUUUCAUGCAGUGCAGUCCGUCAAGCUCCUGAAAUUUGCGGAUGACACCACCUUCGUUGGACUGAUCUCUGGUGGUGAUGAGUCCGCCUACAGGUGGGAAUCUGGUGUCGUGGUGCAGCCAGAACAACCUAGAGCUCAACGCCCUAAAGACAGUGGAGAUGGUUGUGGAUUUCCGGAGGAACAGAGCCCCACCUUCCCCCAUUACUCUGUGCGACUCCCCCGUCACUAUUGUGGAUUCCUUCCGUUUCCUGGGCUCCAUCAUCACCCAGGACCUCAAGUGGGAGCUGAACAUCAGCUCCAUCACCAAUAAGCAGCAGAGGUUGUUCUUCCUCAGGCAGCUGAAGAAAUUCAACCUGCCAAAGACGAUGAUGGUGCACUUUUACACGGCCAUCAUCGAGUCCAUCCUCUGCUCCUCCAUCACCGUCUGGUACGCUGCAGCCACAGCCAAGGACAAGGGCAGGCUGCAGCGUGUCAUCCGCUCUGCAGAGAGGGUGAUUUAGAUUAGAUUAGAUUCAACAACGAAAUGCAGUUUAACAUCCAACCAGAAGUGCAAAAUUGCAAAAAGUGCAGAGUAUGUGCAUAUGUAAAGUGUAAUAAGUGAAUAAAUAGAUAUGAUCGGCUGCAAUCUGCCGUCCCUGCAGGACUUGUUCGCUUCUAGGUCUCUGAAGAGAGCUAAAGAGAUCGUAGCCGACCCCUCUCACCCCGGACAAAACCUGUUUGUGCCCCUUCCAUCUGGCAAGUGUUUAACACUUAAAGUGAUAACAUUUAUGUACGUACAUUUGCAAAUGUACAUACUAAUUAUAAUGGUGAUGGUGGCCCAGAAGUGCAAAACACAACAGCAAAUAGGAAAACACAACGACAUCCACCAGAGGAUGGACCCUUCUGAUUGGACAGACGGACUGUCUGUCUUUUAACAGGAAAUGAGUACAGGGCUCUAAAGUAUCACGCAUUUCGGUCUCUUGUAACGCACUCCCGCCACACAUCCAAUUCCUCACGACAAGGAAUUGGAAUCCGGUCCCUGAGCCGUGUCGCCCGUAGUGUCCGCGGUACCCCUGCCCCCCCUUUUAUUUUACACACCUAAAUAUAAUUUACAUUUAUAAUAAACAACAAAACACCGGUAAAACAAUGGUGAAACACUAGUAGGACACUCGUAAAACAUCGCCAUCUCUCUGCUGCGGCUCUCCUUCUGCGCUCACUUCCACCCCUCAUCAUAGGCUCUCCCGCCACUGAUUUCUUGAUUUCUCAGCUUCCAGAAUCCGUGAGAAUUACGUUGAUUGUGCAAAUAGUUAAGGAGUCUCACGUUAAUUUGAAUCCUCCAUGUCACGGCGAAAGGCUUCGGACUGAGACGGUUCAAAGACAAACAGUCCGUCUGUCCAAUCAGAAUGGUCCGUCCACUGCUAGAUAGGCCCUACCCUUUCCGUACGAAGUUAAUGUCGUUGUGUUUUCCCAUUUGCCCUUGUGCCUCCUAUUUUUUGUUGUAUUUUUCUAUUUACUGUUGUUUUCUUAUUUGCCAUUGUGAUUAUCAGCUCCAUGGCAGCUACAAUUCACAUUGUAUUUACAAAACCUUCAGUUCAUCAGGUAAUUAGUGCCUUUCUCCGCCCAAUAUACUGCACAUUGCGAUCAUUAAAGAAAAUGCUGGCCGUGUAAAGCCUAACAUUAUUUUCAAACAGCAAUAUUGUCUCUUGAAUACUGGUUUAGGCAGCAAUUUACCUCAUAUUUUUAAGUCGAAACAACAUGUUAGAUUUUACAUUGUAUGAUUGGCUGAUCCCGUUUUCCUUACCCUAAAACUCCUCAUGACUAAACAGAACAAACAAAGGGGACAACUGUCAGCCAAUCAGACGUUCAGUAGUCGUUCAGUCAUGCUUAACCAUAGUAGGGAAAAAAUCAUAAAGGUGAAUAAAUCUUUUUCCGGACCAAUGAGAGCUUUUUUGGGAAUAUUGGUGUUCUGGAAUAAUAGCCUCUCGGAACAAGGGUCAGUCCCCCUCACAAGUGCUUGAGGGGAGGGGGAACUGCCCCAGAUAGUCACUAUCUUGUUGCUCUAUGAGGUAAUGUUGGAAUUCACAAAAGUUGGAAAUCUGUAUAUGCAUAUGUAUAACUCCACAAUGGGUGGGCCAGUAUCAUGCAUGGUAGCCCAUCAUCGGAGAUGAAAUAAUGAACAGGAGGCAAAUAAUCAAAGACUGUAAAAGCGAGACAGAUACAUUGCUGCCAACAUAUUUUUGACCGAUAGAUGUUCAGUUCUUAAUACAUUGCAAUAAGUCUCCUUUUAGGCUAUUGAGUUUUUCCAUACAUGACAAUUACAUCGCUAUUGUAAGCUGCUACAUAAAGCAAUAACCAAUUUAGUUCCCAAGUCCUGUGGCCAUCACACAGUAACUAAUAACAUCCAUCAUGGUAUUUUUUUGGGCCCUUGUUUUUGUGAAAGCUGUUCUUCUAGACUGAAAUACAACCCAGCUUUAUUGUGGCUAGAAACCAGUUCUGCUCCUGCUGCAACCAAAAAUUAAUGUUCUCUGUAAACCCAACCUAAGGAGGGUCUGACUAUGUUAUCAGAUUCAAGGUGCAAAUGCAGCAUAUAACAUGUUGGGAGGGAUCCGUAAAUUACAUUGAGACCCUUUAUAGCACUAGUUAAAUAUAUGCAUGGGAAUUCAGUCAACAUUAUGUACUGAGAUGAAUGUGUUGAUUGCAGGUGUGCAUUCCCACUUACUGUGAGAUUUCAGAAAACAGUUCUAGUGGCUUAAAGAUGGGUUUAUCAACUAAUUGUGCCCGUAGAUGUGGCUUGAGACCUUGAUGGAUUUUUCCAUUGUCUCUACUUUCACCGCUUAUGACUUAUUCAGUGAUUCAUUUUUAAUCAAAGCUGAAAUCAAAGAUGUCUGUUAGGCCAUUAACAGCCCAUAAUAUUUGGCUGUAACAAAUAAAACAUGUACUUUUUAUUUCAAAACGUGACAUGAGUGAAGUGAAAGCAAAUAGAUUUGAUUACUUUGUAAAUGGGGUGAUGAAAAGGUCAUACUUAUUGUACUGACAGUUUCUGUCAAAUGAUCCAUUAUCGUAGGCCCGCUGAGACUUAAAAAACACAUUCGGCAGGUACAUCUGCUCACUUGAAGACAGCCCAAUUUUAAAUUAAUCUCAUUGCAUAAUUCAAAGUUGUGACUAAGUCAGGCAUGUUAAAAAAGGCAUCUUAAAUUAUACCAUCCAAACUCUGGUGUCUCAUUAAUAUUACAGGAACUAUUCUUUGACUUGAUUUCAUUUACUUUAUCCAUCUGAGUGAGGACAAACGUCCCAGAAGGGAGGAAUUACAAAGGGUGAAAAUCACAUUUUAGGGU